Molecule: ribosomal RNA, 588 nt
Filed under: uncultured bacterium
Lineage: Bacteria
Description: bacterial SSU rRNA
Rfam family: Bacterial small subunit ribosomal RNA
Source: RNAcentral
UCCUACGGGAGGCAGCAGUGGGGAAUAUUGCACAAUGGGGGAAACCCUGAUGCGGCCAUGCCGCGUGUGUGAAGAAGGCCUUCGGGUUGUAAAGCACUUUCAGUAGGGAGGAAGGUAGUGUAGUUAACACCUGCAUUAUUUGACGUUACCUACAGAAGAAGCACCGGCUAACUCCGUGCCAGCAGCCGCGGUAAUACGGAGGGUGCGAGCGUUAAUCGGAAUUACUGGGCGUAAAGCGCAUGCAGGCGGCCUGUUAAGUCAGAUGUGAAAGCCCGGGGCUUAACCUCGGAAUUGCAUUUGAAACUGGCAGGCUAGAGUCUUGUAGAGGGGGGUAGAAUUUCAGGUGUAGCGGUGAAAUGCGUAGAGAUCUGAAGGAAUACCAGUGGCGAAGGCGGCCCCCUGGACAAAGACUGACGCUCAGAUGCGAAAGCGUGGGGAGCAAACAGGAUUAGAUACCCUGGUAGUCCACGCCGUAAACGAUGUCUACUUGGAGGUUGUGGCCUUGAGCCGUGGCUUUCGGAGCUAACGCGUUAAGUAGACCGCCUGGGGAGUACGGUCGCAAGAUUAAAACUCAAAUGAAUUGACGGA